Molecule: transfer RNA, 73 nt
Filed under: Propionibacteriaceae bacterium
Lineage: Bacteria; Bacillati; Actinomycetota; Actinomycetes; Propionibacteriales; Propionibacteriaceae
Description: tRNA-Asn
Rfam family: tRNA
About the family: Transfer RNA (tRNA) molecules are approximately 80 nucleotides in length. Their secondary structure includes four short double-helical elements and three loops (D, anti-codon, and T loops). Further hydrogen bonds mediate the characteristic L-shaped molecular structure. tRNAs have two regions of fundamental functional importance: the anti-codon, which is responsible for specific mRNA codon recognition, and the 3' end, to which the tRNAs corresponding amino acid is attached (by aminoacyl-tRNA synthetases). tRNAs cope with the degeneracy of the genetic code in two manners: having more than one tRNA (with a specific anti-codon) for a particular amino acid; and 'wobble' base-pairing, i.e. permitting non-standard base-pairing at the 3rd anti-codon position.
Source: RNAcentral
UCCUCCAUAGCUCAAUCGGCAGAGCAUCUGACUGUUAAUCAGAGGGUUCUUGGUUCAAGUCCAAGUGGGGGAG